This 823-nucleotide ribosomal RNA is filed under the name Aetana kiukoki. RNAcentral describes it as "partial 28S ribosomal RNA". It matches the Rfam family "Eukaryotic large subunit ribosomal RNA", at positions 354 to 915 of the family's 3401-position model. Lineage: Eukaryota; Metazoa; Arthropoda; Arachnida; Araneae; Pholcidae. The record is from RNAcentral.
UGAGGGAAAGUUGCAAAGAACUUUGAAGAGAGAGUUCAAGAGUACGUGAAACUGCUCAGAGGUAAACGAGUGGGCCCUCGAAAUCCCGUCGCGAGGGGAUUCAGUCGGGAGUCGGUGGGGUCGAGCGCAGCGACCGACGGGUCGUCCGCGGAUGCAGCGCACGACCGCCUUCGCCCGACGCAUUUCCCCUCGCGCAGUGGACGCCGCAGCCGGUUGGGAGUCGGCCAUGAAGACCGGCGACGGCAGGUGGCGGGGGACUCGCUCCGCGCGCAGUCUCUCGUUGUUAGCCAGCCGGUCCGGGGCGCGACGCCCGACCGAGGAGAAGGAGCACCCUAGGGAGCUCCGGCCGUGCACUCGCAAGCGCCGAGCGGAGCGGAGAGGCAGGAGCUUGCGGCUGGGACGGAUACCACACGAGUCUGUGGUCUGUCCUUCAGCUACUCCGGUGUUGCCACCCGCAUCCCGCCGCGAGCACGCUACGGCUAGCGGCGAGUAGGUCGGUCACCCACUCGUCCCGUCUUGAAACACGGACCAAGGAGUCUAGCAUGUGCGCAAGUCGCAGGGUCUUGAACAGGCCCGGGGGCGCAAUGAAAGUGGAGGCGGACGCCCUCCGACGGAGGUGUGUCGCUGCCGCGUUGGGAUCCCCGAUCUCUGGAUCGGGGCGCACCAACGGCCCGCGUCGAUCGAUUCAUCGACGGCGCGGAGCCGGAGCGCACACGCUGGGACCCGAAAGAUGGUGAACUAUGCCCGGGCAGAACGAAGCCAGGGGAAACCCUGGUGGAGGUUCGCAGCGGUUCUGACGUGCAAAUCGAUCGUCAGACCUGGG